UACGUAGGGCGCAAGCGUUAUCCGGAAUUAUUGGGCGUAAAGAGCUCGUAGGCGGUUUGUCGCGUCUGCCGUGAAAGUCCGGGGCUCAACUCCGGAUCUGCGGUGGGUACGGGCAGACUAGAGUGAUGUAGGGGAGACUGGAAUUCCUGGUGUAGCGGUGAAAUGCGCAGAUAUCGGGAAGAACACCUAUGGCGAAGGCAGCUCUCUGGGACGGUACUGACGCUGAGACGCGAAAGCGUGGGGAGCGAACAGG
RNAcentral lists this ribosomal RNA (253 nucleotides) under uncultured bacterium. Its description in RNAcentral is "partial 16S ribosomal RNA". It matches the Rfam family "Bacterial small subunit ribosomal RNA", at positions 524 to 776 of the family's 1533-position model. The record is from RNAcentral.